CCUUUCUCUUCCUCAUCAAUGUGCAGGUACACAUAGUUGCUUCCUAUUGAAGCUAUUCGAAUGAGGUUCGAAUUAUAAUCUUGAUUCAUUAUUGUAUAUUAUUGACGUUAGACAAACUUAGGCCGAUUCUCAAAUUAUUGUUUUAUGUUAUUAUAUGUUAUUACUUGUGUAUAUUACACGCUUAUUAUUCUUGUAUAUUUAUUUUUAUCUCUUCCUCAAUUUGAAAAAAUGAAUUGAAUCGGGAACUACAAUUGUGGAUUUC
Molecule: long non-coding RNA, 262 nt
Filed under: Solanum tuberosum (potato)
Lineage: Eukaryota; Viridiplantae; Streptophyta; Magnoliopsida; Solanales; Solanaceae
Description: long non-coding RNA (STUB_LNC006489)
Source: RNAcentral